GAAUUCUGGAUGCUGAGAAAAC
RNAcentral lists this microRNA (22 nucleotides) under Heligmosomoides polygyrus. Its description in RNAcentral is "hpo-miR-10118-5p". Lineage: Eukaryota; Metazoa; Nematoda; Chromadorea; Rhabditida; Heligmosomidae. The record is from miRBase by way of RNAcentral.